This 78-nucleotide transfer RNA is filed under the name Beijerinckiaceae bacterium. Its description in RNAcentral is "tRNA-Trp". It matches the Rfam family "tRNA". Rfam says of the family: Transfer RNA (tRNA) molecules are approximately 80 nucleotides in length. Their secondary structure includes four short double-helical elements and three loops (D, anti-codon, and T loops). Further hydrogen bonds mediate the characteristic L-shaped molecular structure. tRNAs have two regions of fundamental functional importance: the anti-codon, which is responsible for specific mRNA codon recognition, and the 3' end, to which the tRNAs corresponding amino acid is attached (by aminoacyl-tRNA synthetases). tRNAs cope with the degeneracy of the genetic code in two manners: having more than one tRNA (with a specific anti-codon) for a particular amino acid; and 'wobble' base-pairing, i.e. permitting non-standard base-pairing at the 3rd anti-codon position. Lineage: Bacteria; Pseudomonadati; Pseudomonadota; Alphaproteobacteria; Hyphomicrobiales; Beijerinckiaceae. The record is from RNAcentral.
AGGAGUGUAGCUCAAUUUGGUUAGAGCACCGGUCUCCAAAACCGGGGGUUGAAGGUUCGAGUCCCUCCACUCCUGCCA